Molecule: long non-coding RNA, 1484 nt
Organism: Triticum aestivum (bread wheat)
Lineage: Eukaryota; Viridiplantae; Streptophyta; Magnoliopsida; Poales; Poaceae
Exons: 3
Source: RefSeq, a predicted model, not a curated record
UUAACACAAAUGGAGGUGCGCCACUCGCCGGCCUAUUCCCCUCCUCCUCCUUUAUUUAGUACGCAUGGGUACGCCCCUCUCACCUCUCGGGACCUCGACCUGGAGCGGCAUCACCCACCACUACUCGCUAGACAUCCCUCCAUGCCGGAAUGGCAUGUGAUUCCGUUAUAGAACCAUAGCGGGCCAAGGGAGGGCACUGCCAUGACAACACUGCUGCUUCUAACAUAUUCACCCCUUAUACCACUGCCUUGCGCCGCCCGGAUCCCAUCGUUGCCGCUUUUCCAAUCCUGGAGAUGAACACGCAGAAAUAAGACUCUCCUUGCAAAGAAAUAAACAAAGCUCCAGACUCGAGGCCGCUACAACAGAGGAAGCGAAAAGCUUUGAUGCUUGAUGCACACCAGACGAUCACAAGUCUCUUUCACAGCCUUUCUGAGGUCGUUGCUAAACCGUGAGGAUUAGAGUAUUCUCUUUCAAGUAAGUGAUCUUCAUAUUCUUCAUCAGAAGUAUGAGCCCAUCAUGCAAAACAAGGGAACGAAUAAAGCAGCAGUAGUUAUUGUAAUAACUACUAAUAUUGGCAACUUUGUACAUAAUGUGUUAUGAUGUACGCUCCUUGAGUUUAUUGGUAUUCUUUCGCAAGUAUUGAGGAAAUUUAACGUUUGUACAAAGAAAUUAAAUAUUUGAUUGCAAAGGUGAGGUUCUCAAUAUUUGGCCAAUGGAUUUCCAGAAGGAUCUGAAAGGCAUUUUUGACGCGAUUAUAUUUCAAUCCUGACCGAAAAGAUAUUCAGGUAACAGCAUAACAGAUCAAAAUGGUGGGCCGCUGAACCGUUCAAAUGGUAGCACAUCACCAGUUACUCAUUAAUUAACUCUGAUGAUGUUGGCACAACAACCCUUAUUCGGGCGUUGGAUAUACAUACAUGGGUGUGGGACUCCCCUGCGGAUCCUUGCUACAACAAAUGAAAAUUGCAGGUGGACAAACACUUGAUGGAACAGGUUGGCAUUUGAAAAGAUGGACAUGCCCGUAUGUCGUUUUACUUUGUGGAAGGAGGGAGUGGGUCUCCAAAUUCAAAACUUAAUUAUUACCCAUUACUUGUUUGUAUAUGGUCUCUUGGUUAGUAAUAUUAAAUCAUAAACAACUUCCCAUGUGUUUAGGUGAAAGAGAAGACCGUGAAGCUUACAGAGGCCAUGUAAUCUACCUACGGGGAUCUGAUGUCACGACCAGCGUCUUAACUGUUACAGUGAACUCUAUUGUUCAAUCCAUCCUCGUGGUGUUGUAAUUUGUAAAUAAUUGCAACAGCUGGUAGUGCUUAGCCACUUGAUUCUACAAAUAUCUGUCUAAGAAAUUUGAUUUUACAGGCUUAUUUGUUCCCCUACUACACAUAAACCCCCAUAAUGAUUCAGAUGAUAUCACGUACAAUCAUCCAAACUGUAUUCCAAAGCGAAGUCCUUGGACUGCCAUCUAAAUAAAGAGGUUGUUCUGUUGAUUA